AGUGAACGCUGGCGGUAGGCCUAACACAUGCAAGUCGAACGGCAGCACAGUAAGAGCUUGCUCUUACGGGUGGCGAGUGGCGGACGGGUGAGGAAUACAUCGGAAUCUACUUUUUCGUGGGGGAUAACGUAGGGAAACUUACGCUAAUACCGCAUACGACCUACGGGUGAAAGCAGGGGAUCUUCGGACCUUGCGCGAUUGAAUGAGCCGAUGUCGGAUUAGCUAGUUGGCGGGGUAAAGGCCCACCAAGGCGACGAUCCGUAGCUGGUCUGAGAGGAUGAUCAGCCACACUGGAACUGAGACACGGUCCAGACUCCUACGGGAGGCAGCAGUGGGGAAUAUUGGACAAUGGGCGCAAGCCUGAUCCAGCCAUACCGCGUGGGUGAAGAAGGCCUUCGGGUUGUAAAGCCCUUUUGUUGGGAAAGAAAAGCAGCAGGUUAAUACCCCGCUGUUCUGACGGUACCCAAAGAAUAAACACCGGCUAACCUCGU
RNAcentral lists this ribosomal RNA (491 nucleotides) under uncultured bacterium. Its description in RNAcentral is "partial 16S ribosomal RNA". It matches the Rfam family "Bacterial small subunit ribosomal RNA", at positions 29 to 506 of the family's 1533-position model. The record is from RNAcentral.